RNAcentral lists this ribosomal RNA (626 nucleotides) under Tracheloptychus petersi. RNAcentral's name for it is "partial 12S ribosomal RNA". The stretch from base 1 to 482 matches the Rfam family "Bacterial small subunit ribosomal RNA", at positions 857 to 1533 of the family's 1533-position model. The record is from RNAcentral. Lineage: Eukaryota; Metazoa; Chordata; Lepidosauria; Squamata; Gerrhosauridae.
UCAACUAACUAUUCGCCAGAAUACUACAAGCAAAACGCUUGAAACUCAAAGGACUUGGUGGUGUCCCAUAUCGUCCUAGAGGAGCCUGUCCUAUAAUCGAUACUCCACGAUAAACCUUACCAUUUUUGGCCACUCCAGCCUAUAUACCGCCGUCGCCAGCCUACCCCAUGAGGGCUCAUCAGUAGGCAAAAUUGUUUUCACACAAAAACGUCAGGUCAAGGUGUAGCUUAUAAAAUGGGAGAGAUGGGCUACAUUUUCUAAAUUAGAAAAUACGAACAAUACAAUGAAACCUUGUAUUAGAAGGAGGAUUUAGCAGUAAAAUAAACAGAAAAAUUAUUUUAAAAAAGCUCUGAGACGCGUACACACCGCCCGUCACCCUCAUCAAACAAACCCACAAUUAACAUAUACCCACAACCAAACAAAGAUGAGGUAAGUCGUAACAUGGUAAGCGUACUGGAAAGUGCGCUUGGAAUAACAAAAAGUAGCUUAAAAUAAAGCAUUCAACUUACAAUUGAAAUAUGUUACCCAUAUAACCUUUUUGAGCUAAAAUUAAGCCCGACCUAACCGCCCAACCAGAAAACCAGAUAAAACAAACCAUUUGCCAAAAACAGUAUUUGAGAAAGAAC